UGGGUUGUAGCUCAAUGGUAGAGCACUUGCCUUGCACGUGUGAGGCUCUGGGUUUGAUCCCUGGAACCAAA
This 71-nucleotide transfer RNA is filed under the name Ictidomys tridecemlineatus (thirteen-lined ground squirrel). Its description in RNAcentral is "Spermophilus tridecemlineatus (thirteen-lined ground squirrel) tRNA". It matches the Rfam family "tRNA". From Rfam's summary of the family: Transfer RNA (tRNA) molecules are approximately 80 nucleotides in length. The record is from Rfam by way of RNAcentral. Lineage: Eukaryota; Metazoa; Chordata; Mammalia; Rodentia; Sciuridae.